This 247-nucleotide long non-coding RNA is filed under the name Mytilus galloprovincialis (Mediterranean mussel). The record is from RNAcentral. Lineage: Eukaryota; Metazoa; Mollusca; Bivalvia; Mytilida; Mytilidae.
CGCGCGUUUCGUCUACAAAAGACUUAUCAAGGACGCUCGAAUCAUAUUAAGUUUAAAAAAAGCCAAUAAAGUCAAAUUAAAUUAAAAAGGCAAAAAAAAAAAAUAAUUGAGAAACGUUAACAUUCAACUUAUCGUUCUGGUUUGGUAAAAGCUGAACACAUUCAUCAUAUUUAUUAUAAACGUAUACCAUAAACAUUAUUUCCAGCUUUCAUAUUUAUGUAAAAAAGUUGCCGCUGUACAUUAUGCC